RNAcentral lists this ribosomal RNA (1057 nucleotides) under uncultured bacterium. Its description in RNAcentral is "bacterial SSU rRNA". It matches the Rfam family "Bacterial small subunit ribosomal RNA", at positions 337 to 1396 of the family's 1533-position model. The record is from RNAcentral.
UCCUACGGGAGGCAGCAGUAAGGAAUAUUGGUCAAUGGGCGCAAGCCUGAACCAGCCAUGCCGCGUGAAGGAUGACGGCCCUAUGGGUUGUAAACUUCUUUUGUACGGGAAAAAACCACCGGUCGUGUAUCGGUGCUGAUGGUACCGUAAGAAUAAGCAUCGGCUAACUCCGUGCCAGCAGCCGCGGUAAUACGGAGGAUGCAAGCGUUAUCCGGAUUCAUUGGGUUUAAAGGGUGCGCAGGCGGAGUGAUAAGUCAGUGGUGAAAGCCUACAGCUUAACUGUAGAACUGCCAUUGAUACUGUCAUUCUUGAGUAUUGUUGAGGUAGGCGGAAUGUGUCAUGUAGCGGUGAAAUGCUUAGAUAUGACACAGAACACCGAUCGCGAAGGCAGCUUACCAAGCAAUAACUGACGCUCAUGCACGAAAGCGUGGGGAUCAAACAGGAUUAGAUACCCUGGUAGUCCACGCCGUAAACGAUGAUCACUCGAUGUUGGCGAUACACAGUCAGCGUCUUAGGGAAACUAUUAAGUGAUCCACCUGGGGAGUACGGUCGCAAGAUUGAAACUCAAAGGAAUUGACGGGGGCCCGCACAAGCGGAGGAGCAUGUGGUUUAAUUCGAUGAUACGCGAGGAACCUUACCUGGGCUCGAACGUGGAAUGACAGUCGCGGAAACGUGAUCUUCUUCGGACAUUCUACGAGGUGCUGCAUGGUUGUCGUCAGCUCGUGCCGUGAGGUGUCGGGUUAAGUCCCAUAACGAGCGCAACCCCUAUCUUUAGUUGCCAUCAGGUAAUGCUGGGGACUCUAAAGAAACUGCCUACGCAAGUAGUGAGGAAGGCGGGGAUGACGUCAAAUCAGCACGGCCCUUACGUCCAGGGCUACACACGUGCUACAAUGGCCGGUACAGAGGGCAGCUACCUGGUGACAGGUUGCAAAUCUCCAAAGCCGGUCUCAGUUCGGAUCGAAGUCUGAAACUCGACUUCGUGAAGUUGGAUUCGCUAGUAAUCGCGCAUCAGCCAUGGCGCGGUGAAUACGUUCCCGGGCCUUGUACACACCGCCAU